This 70-nucleotide transfer RNA is filed under the name Helictopleurus quadripunctatus. RNAcentral describes it as "tRNA-Trp". The record is from RNAcentral. Lineage: Eukaryota; Metazoa; Arthropoda; Insecta; Coleoptera; Scarabaeidae.
AAGGAUUUAAGUUAUUUUUAAAAACUAGAAACCUUCAAAGUUUCAAAAAAAGAUCAUUCUUUAAGCCUUA